Molecule: ribosomal RNA, 394 nt
Filed under: uncultured bacterium
Lineage: Bacteria
Description: partial 16S ribosomal RNA
Rfam family: Bacterial small subunit ribosomal RNA
Source: RNAcentral
AUUGCACAAUGGGCGCAAGCCUGAUGCAGCGACGCCGCGUGGAGGAUGAAGGCUUUCGGGUCGUAAACUCCUGUCUGGGGGGAUGAAUACUGACAGUACCACCGGAGGAAGCCCCGGCUAACUACGUGCCAGCAGCCGCGGUAAUACGUAGGGGGCAAGCGUUGUCCGGAAUUAUUGGGCGUAAAGGGUGCGUAGGCGGCCCUUUAAGUCAGAUGUGAAAGCCCACGGCUUAACCGUGGGACUGCAUUUGAAACUGGAGGGCUUGAGUGUCGGAGAGGGCAGUGGAAUUCCCAGUGUAGCGGUGGAAUGCGUAGAUAUUGGGAGGAACACCAGUGGCGAAGGCGACUGCCUGGACGAUAACUGACGCUGAGGCACGAAAGCUAGGGGAGCAAAC